UGGGUCUGGUGAUACGUUCUUACCCAC
RNAcentral lists this non-coding RNA (27 nucleotides) under Mus musculus (house mouse). Lineage: Eukaryota; Metazoa; Chordata; Mammalia; Rodentia; Muridae. The record is from RNAcentral.